This 501-nucleotide ribosomal RNA is filed under the name uncultured bacterium. Its description in RNAcentral is "partial 16S ribosomal RNA". It matches the Rfam family "Bacterial small subunit ribosomal RNA", at positions 30 to 523 of the family's 1533-position model. The record is from RNAcentral.
AUUGAACGCUGGCGGCAGGCUUAACACAUGCAAGUCGAGCGGGGGAAGGUAGCUUGCUACCGGACCUAGCGGCGGACGGGUGAGUAAUGCUUAGGAAUCUGCCUAUUAGUGGGGGACAACAUCUCGAAAGGGAUGCUAAUACCGCAUACGUCCUACGGGAGAAAGCAGGGGAUCUUCGGACCUUGCGCUAAUAGAUGAGCCUAAGUCGGAUUAGCUAGUUGGUGGGGUAAAGGCCUACCAAGGCGACGAUCUGUAGCAGGUCUGAGAGGAUGAUCCGCCACACUGGGACUGAGACACGGCCCAGACUCCUACGGGAGGCAGCAGUGGGGAGUAUUGGACAAUGGGGGGAACCCUGAUCUAGCCAUGCCGCGUGUGUGAAGAAGGCCUUAUGGUUGUAAAGCACUUUAAGCUAGGAGGAGGCUACUUUAGUUAAUACCUAGAGAUAGUGGACGUUACUCGCAGAAUAAGCACCGGCUAACUCUGUGCCAGCAGCCGCCGUAA